Molecule: ribosomal RNA, 323 nt
Filed under: uncultured bacterium
Lineage: Bacteria
Description: bacterial SSU rRNA
Rfam family: Bacterial small subunit ribosomal RNA
Source: RNAcentral
GACGAACGCUGGCGGCGCGCUUAACACAUGCAAGUCGAGCGAGAACCUAGGCUUCGGCCUAGGGGACAGCGGCGAACGGGUGAGUAACACGUGGGUAAUCUGCCCUCGACAUCGGGAUAGCCCGGGGAAACCCGGAUUAAUACCGAAUGGCCCAUCCGCUUUUCGGAGCGGCUAGGAAAAAGGUAGCUUCGGCCCUCCGGUCGAGGAGGAGCCCGCGGCGGAUUAGCUUGUUGGUGAGUAAUGGCCCACCAAGGCGACGAUCCGUAGCUGGUCUGAGAGGACGAUCAGCCACACUGGGACUGAGACACGGCCCAGACUCCUAC